AAUGUAAACUGUGCAUCUACAAAUUCAAUGUGCUCUGCAAAGGCAUUUGAUGCAAGCAAGUCAAACAAAACUGUGGAUCAAACGGAUCCGUUUGAAAUCCCAAACACAUGUGAAAUAAAUACAUUCAUGGAACAACCAAUCAACAAUGAAGAAAGUGUUGGAUUAGGUGUUUAAGCCAUAACUAAAAUUGAUGGAAGCACAGUCCUUUUGGGUUGCCCUCGAGGCUCAAAAUGAAUAGAAGUGAUAAAGGAGAAUAAAAUUCCCAUGGAAAGUUUGUCCCACAUCGGUGGAAUAGAAAAACAUGGAGGCUAUCCAAAGCUAUAUAUAGGGCCUUAGGGAUUCAUUCUUUUUGCACAUUCUUGGCUUGUGUAUUCGCCUCCUUCUUUCUCCUCUUGGAAGAACUCUUCUAUAGUUCAUCCACACUUAGUUAUUUUUUUUUGAGUCGUCGGGUGUGAUUCCAUUAGAGGCACGACACUUGUGGUGCUUGCUUCCAAGAGAUUUGGAGGGAUAGUUUUAGUUGUUUACUACAACAACUAAAAGGAGCCUCGAUAAAGCGUGAAGAAGGCGCAUCUCCGAGCCCAACGUACACUGCGUACGGAUUUCAUUACAUGGAUUCAGUUGCUAAUGAAAACUGGGUGAAAGAUCUUGAUUCAGCCAAAUAUAUGUCCGUCUUAAAAGAUAUACAAGAGCAUUUGCAAGGAAAUAGAUGUUGAUGCCUUCUUUUAGAUGGUUGCUCUCACUAGAAGUAUCAAAUGGAAACAAUUUCCAGUGAAAAAUACUCCCAUUGAAAAUGUUGUGAGGGAUGCAGUUAUGAAUUGGAAUGGUAAUGAUACUAGUGCACUAAGUACCGAUCUCAGAGCUGUCUCAGUCUUGUAUGAUAAGUGAAGCCACUUUUGCAGGCUUUCAACCAUGUCAAGACAUAAUCAAGACAUAAUCUUAAAUAAGCGUGGAGAGCAGUUUUUUAUGAGGCAAUUUCUGGUUCAAGUGGAUUAAAGGAUAAAGCAAAGUUGGAGUAAUUAGCUAAAGCCUUUGAAGCGAAGGGUCUUUACCGGUUAUUGAUUGAAAAUACGAGGAUCAAAGGCGGUCUGCCUUGCCUUCAAUGUUUAUCAUCUCUAUGUACUGGUCAUCAGAGAUGUUAACUUGUUGAACAGGUAACAUGGUGUUCUGAUUUAAAAAUUCGGAAAUUUAUUUAUUUGAUGUUUUAUUUUCAUCAUUGUUCAGGGGAAGAAUCGGAGAUUAUACACAAGGCCAAAUCUUCAACAGAGGAAAGAAGCGGCAAAACGAGAAGCUGUUGAAGUAAUAGAAGUAUUGCUGUUGAGCCAACAUUAUAAAGAACACAAAGGCAAAAAUGUUGAUUAGUGAUGUAGACGUUGGAGAAAAGCAUAACAAAGGUGAACAUGGAGGUGUUCCAUGUUAUUCAAAGGUUGGCACAAAGUUUAUGAUGGCUGAUUGACUGUUGUCUCUUCCCAUGAAGAAGAUGAAGACAGUCAAUGUAAAAGAUUGCGUGAUCAGUUUUACGGAACUUUCAUGAACGAGAUUGUAACUGCAUUAACUAUCAACUUUAUUCUUUCGGGUCAUAUUCAUUUGUUUAGCAAUUCAAAUUAUAUCUUACCAAAACACUAAACAAGCCAAAAGUGUUGAACGGGCCAAAAGCUACUCAAAGUUAGAUCAGCUUUGCAAAAUAAUGGUUCUUGAUACUAAUUAAUUAUGAAAGUUGGUCAAAAGUUUUCUGGGUUGAUCUAA
This is a long non-coding RNA of Erigeron canadensis, 1743 nucleotides long. RefSeq lists it as uncharacterized. The transcript has 5 exons. The record is from RefSeq and is a predicted model, not a curated record. Lineage: Eukaryota; Viridiplantae; Streptophyta; Magnoliopsida; Asterales; Asteraceae.